Long non-coding RNA from Peromyscus leucopus (white-footed mouse), 1896 nucleotides. RefSeq lists it as uncharacterized. The record is from RefSeq and is a predicted model, not a curated record. The transcript has 3 exons. NCBI's taxonomy places the organism in Eukaryota, Metazoa, Chordata, Mammalia, Rodentia, Cricetidae.
AUAUCAGCUGAGACUACUUAUUAUACACGCACACACUUGACUUUUUGAUAAACCCCUGUAAAAUGUUCAGAUAAUUUUGUUUGCAAUAGGAGGGAUUUGGGGGAGCCUGCAACAGAGGGAUCCGAAGUUCUAGGCCAGUCUCUGUUAUAUGAGCCCCUGCCUUAUAAAAACAACUACACAGAAAACAGAAGCCAGGAGGGUGUCAGCGUGAGAAGUUACUUCGUGUGUCUGUGUUGUGCCGACUCAGCUGUGACACUAGUAACACGGGCCUUUCCAAAUGACACUAUUGCCUGAGACACCAUAGGAAGGAAGUGCUUUGCAGUUUCACCAGUGAUGAUGGCCAGAGGAGCAUCAGGUAGGUUUGGGUAGGGGCUGUGGUGCCCAGCCCCAGAAGGAUGCUCCUGGGACAAUGUUUGGCUCUGCAGCUACGGUCGAGACUCUGAACACAGGCUGGCUCCUAGGGCUCAGGCACAGAAAUAGAGUUAAGAGAACGCUGGGUAGAGUCUGCUGUUUUGGGAAAGAAAUGCAGCUUGCUUUUCGCUUUCUUGUUUUGCUUCCCACCCUACACCGAGCCCAGCCUCCAUCUGUGUGACCGCCCAGGACGGAAGUCUUCAUCGAACCAGGAGCCGCUGCCAGUUCUGUGGCCAGGGGAGUGCUCAGUUCAGCAGAUGGGGACAUGAAGGUCCUGAGAAGAGGAUCCACUCAUUUGCGUGGCAAGCACACAGGAGCUGCUCCGCAAACAAGGCGGUUGGGGUCCUAAGCACAGGGAGAUUCCUGCCAGCUGGACCAAAACACUUGUGUCAACCAUGUCAGCAUCGUGGCACACACACCUACAGAUGCUUGCUUGCUCCCUCGCUCAUCUCCACAGGCUCCAUGAAGAGGGAGGAAGGAACGGCUUCCCUUAGUAAGCCCGGGUGCCGUGGUCAACCCUGUAAUCUGUGACUUGACAGAGAGAGCAGCCAGCUCUCCUCCCACGUGGAGACUCCCGGGGAAAGAGUGUGACAAACAUGGCACCUUCUGCUGCACACCAGCAACCCGGGAUCUUCAGUGGAGGCUGAUUUGAAGGGAGGGGCUUAGCAGGCUAGUGGCACAUCUGAACAUGCCGUGCGCGCGCAUGGGCUUCCAUGAGUCCAGCAAGAGAGAGCAGGCUGGGCAUGUCACUCAUUGGUGGAGUACUUGCCUAGGGCAUGUGAUCCUCUAGGUUUAAUUCUCAGAACAAAGAAGAGGAGGAGGGGCAGAAGAAGAAAAAAGAAGAGGAGGAGGAGUUUCCAAACCGUCAUAAGAUGUGGUAGAAUACCUACCCAGCAUGCAUGAAGUACCAAGGUCCAAGCCCCAGUACAGUGUGGGUGGGGCAAGGAAAGACCAAUGGAUGGCAUGAUCCAAUCAGAGAAAACAUCAAAUUAAAUUUCAGGCCGGCAUAGUGGCUCAUGCCUGCCAUCCCAGGACUCAAAAGACCAGAGGUUCGUGAAUCAAGAGUUCAAGGUCAUCCUUGGCUACAUAGCAAGACUGAGGGUGGACUACAUGAGACCGUGCCAGAAUAAAAUUCAAACUGUAUUUGGGCCAUCACAGAUUUCAAAUUUCAGGUGACUAUAUUCCUGACUGUCAUAGCUACUUUUCUGUCGCUGUGAUAAAACACUAUGACCAAAGCAACUUACAGAAGGAAGGGUUUUAUUUGGCUUAGAGUCCCAGAGGGAUAAGGCGUGAUGGCAUCAACAGGAAGCCGGAGCUCUCCUCCUUGAUGUGGCUCUCAGGCAUGAAGAGAGACAGCCAUGAAGCAGAGAGAGAGAACUGAGAGGCGUUUACUGUCAGAGCCAGUCUCUGUGAUACAUUCCUCUGUGAUACAUUCCUCUGUGAUACAUUCCUCUGGCCACACCAGUGGUUCCCAACCUUCCUAAU